ACAUUGUACAUAGACUGAAAGCCAAUUAGCCAACUACCUAUUUGAAAGUUUAAACAAGGUAAAUGUUGUUACCCUAUCAGAAAUAGACAUGGGUUUCCGUGAUAGUGAGUUUGCACCGUCGUCGAUUAACUCCACCAAUGCCAGGGGCACGUAUGCUAAUAGUGCUAGUAGUCUUAGCAGUCUUUUAGUUUCCAAUCUUUCUAACUGCAUACCUACAAAUUUAAGUUAACUUUUACGCUAUAGAGAGCGUUGCGAUCCGCACUAAGCACACAAAUCUAGUGUUUCGUUCGAGUCGAUGAUGAUAAAACUACGCCUUAAUGUCACCGUGACGGUUUUUAUAAGCUCAACAGGACUGAAUAAAGAUUUUUUUACAAGAGUUAGAAAUUUUGAAUUUCACCAUCUAAUAAAGUUUCCUUUUUUGCAGAGUUCUUUAUUUGAAGAGACCAGAGUCUGUCUUCGUAUAGUGUCAUUUUUAGGUUAAUCACCGUUAAUAAAACAAUCUUAAAUGUACUGGAAGUUAAAUAAAAAACAUUUUAAAAGCA
Molecule: long non-coding RNA, 542 nt
Organism: Bombyx mandarina (wild silkworm)
Lineage: Eukaryota; Metazoa; Arthropoda; Insecta; Lepidoptera; Bombycidae
Source: RefSeq, a predicted model, not a curated record